GAUUCCCAUAUCAAUCAGCGGAGGAAGUUUCUUAUUGUGACUUCUGAGUAAAACAAACAAAUAAAUCAAAACUUUCAACAACGGAUCUCUUGGUUCUGGCAUCGAUGAAGAACGCAGCAAAAUGCGAUAAGUAAUGUGAAUUGCAGAAUUCAGUGAAUCAUCGAAUCUUUGAACGCACAUUGCGCCCGCUGGUAUUCCGGCGGGCAUGCCUGUUCGAGCGUCAUUUCAACCCUCAAGCCCCCGGGUUUGGUGUUGGGGAUCGGCUCUGCCUCACGGCGGUGCCGCCCCCGAAAUACAUUGGCGGUCUCGCUGCAGCCUCCAUUGCGUAGUAGCUAACACCUCGCAACUGGAACGCGGCGCGGCCAUGCCGUAAGACCCCAACUUCUGAAUGUUGACCUCGGAUCAGGUAGGAAUACUCGCUGAACUUAAGCAUAUCAAUACGCGGAGGAAAUUUUAUUCGGCUUUUGAUAUGCUUCCCCCGCAGGUACACCUACAGUAUCCGUCCGCCGCUCAUGGAUAC
Molecule: ribosomal RNA, 520 nt
Filed under: Fusarium lateritium
Lineage: Eukaryota; Fungi; Ascomycota; Sordariomycetes; Hypocreales; Nectriaceae
Description: eukaryotic LSU rRNA
Rfam family: 5.8S ribosomal RNA (bases 70-223)
Source: RNAcentral